GAUGAACGCUGGCGGCGUGCUUAACACAUGCAGGUCGAACGAUUAAGACCCCUUCGGGGGUGUAUAGAGUGGCGAACGGGUGAGUAACACGUGGGCAACCUGCCCCUUCCUCUGGGAUAACACGGAGAAAUCCGUGCUAAUACCGGAUACUCCAUAUCUGCGGCAUCGCGGAUAUGGGAAAGCUCCGACGGGAAGGGACGGGCCCGCGGUCCAUUAGCUAGUCGGUGGGGUAACGGCCUACCGAGGCGACGAUGGAUAGCCGGGUUGAGAGACCGACCGGCCACAUUGGGACUGAGACACGGCCCAGACUCCUACGGGAGGCAGCAGUGGGGAAUUUUGCGCAAUGGGGGAAACCCUGACGCAGCAACGCCGCGUGCGGGAUGAAGGCCUUCGGGUUGUAAACCGCUUUCAGCAGGGAAGAAUACAGACGGUACCUGCAGAAGAAGCUCCGGCUAACUACGUGCCAGCAGCCGCGGUAA
Molecule: ribosomal RNA, 479 nt
Filed under: uncultured bacterium
Lineage: Bacteria
Description: partial 16S ribosomal RNA
Rfam family: Bacterial small subunit ribosomal RNA
Source: RNAcentral